Molecule: RNA transcript, 3450 nt
Organism: Cornus florida
Lineage: Eukaryota; Viridiplantae; Streptophyta; Magnoliopsida; Cornales; Cornaceae
Gene name: transcription termination factor MTERF6, chloroplastic/mitochondrial-like
Exons: 3
Source: RefSeq, a predicted model, not a curated record
UCAUGACUCGUUAACCUAACUCACAACAUGGAGUAGGCUUUUUCUGAAUCACUCUCCCUAGGGUUUUGAACUUGUGGAAGCGGCUAACAUUCAAAUCGCUCAACCCCUAUGGCUUUCAGAUCCUGUAAGUCUGUAUCACCCAGGUUUCAUUUCAUAUACGACACUCUCAUACAUCACAGAAUCAGUCACAAUACACACACAAUUGUUCGUUUUCUUGAAACCCAGUCAAUAGCAAACAACUCAAAUUUCACAGAAAAAUCCUCUCUAACGAUCUCUUACCUCACAAAGUCAUGUGGGUUGUCUCUAAAAUCUGCUAUAUCAGCUUCUAAGAAGGUCAGCAUUAAGAGCACAGAGAAACCGGACUCAGUUCUGGAGCUACUAAGGUCGCAUGGCUUCACUGAAAAUCACAUUUCAGUCCUUAUCUCCAGGUACCCAACUUUAAUUUUGGCUGAUCCAGAGAGAACUUUGAGACCCAAAAUUGAGUAUUUUGAAUCUAUGGGUCUUGUUGGACCUGACUUGGCUAAGAUUCUUUGCUCAUGCUCCAUGUUAACGAACAGUUUAGAAAACCAAAUCAAACCCUCAUUUAAUUUCCUUAAACGAUACUUAAAGACUAAUGAGAAUUUAAUUUAUGCUGUUAAGCAAUAUAGCCGUGUGGUACAGUGCAACGCUGAAAAAGUUAUGUUGCCAAAUAUCCACACCUUGCAGGCUCAUGGCGUGCCUGAUUCCCAUAUUGGAAAACUAAUCGCGCUGAGGCCUAACGCGGUAAUGUUGAGAAGUGAUGUGUUUAAAGAGGUUACUGAUGCACUUAAGGAAAUGGGUUUUGAUCCCACAAGGGUAUCAUACUUAUUGGCUUUUCGAUCGAGAUUUAGCAAACUUAAUUGGGAAAAGAAAAAGGAAGUUUUUAUGAGCUUUGGUUGGUCUGAAAGUGAAUUUAAUUCGGCAUUCAAAUUGGGACCGCUGUGUAUGCUUUCCUCAGAGAAGAAGAUCAGGGAACUGAUGGAUUUCUUCGUGAACAAGGCGGGGUUAAGAGCAUCACAGAUCGCUAAAUGCCCAAAUCUUUUUGUAAGUAGUUUGGAAAAGAGAAUCAUUCCAAGAUGUUCAGUUCUGCAAGUUCUGAUGUCAAAAGGUUUGAUUGGGAAGGAUGUAGGUGUGGUUUGGGCGUUAGAUUGUACCAAAAAGAAAUUCGAAUCCAGGUUUCUGACCAAGUAUAAGGAGGUAACUCCAGAGGUAAUCAAAGCGUACGAGGGUGAGAUAGGAUUUCAAGGAUUCAAUACUAGAUAGUAGGACAAUGUGGAAUCAGAGAAGUGAGCAACUGCUAGAUAUUCCGGCAACAGCAGAGGACUAACAAUAUGGCUGCAUACAAGGUCUGCCAUAUAAGAAGGCAUCCUCUAAUCACUUAAGUGAGAUUUUUUGGUGGCUGAUAAAGUGUAAGAAGAGGGAAAGUUGAAGCGGCUGGUAAUAUCUGAACUUAGACAGUUGUUGGGUGGUGAGGGAGAGCUGACAUUUGUGAAGUAUGGACUGUAUGGGUAUCAUUAGUACUUAAUAUAUCUUCCAAGGUAUUUGCUAUGUUGUUUGCUACAUCUAAUUGGGCUGUUUGGAGAGAGAGAAAUCUCAGAAUGGACCAAGACUGUAGGGGAGAGGCUGAGGAGGUUGCUGGGACUCUGGUUUUUGAGAUUGUUGUUGCUAGUGCGGAUUCUGGUCACACCCCAUUAACGCAAUGGCCAUGAUGGGGGCUUUGCAGGUGGACUCAUAUCCUCUAUCUUUCGUUCAGAUUUGACGCUUUUUGUUCAAUUGGUUGACUUGAUGAACUGUUACCUCUUAUUGGAAUUUAAAUUUUUAUAUAGUAGCAAGUGAAAGGCCUUUAUUGGAAUCAAAAGGCAGAUAAUCUAUUUUCAAGAGUGGUAGGAUAGGGCCGACAGGCUUUGAAUAUCGCGGUAUGCUUUGGUAGCAAUGGGCUAUGUUUGCCUGCCAUUGGAAUCUUCUUUGUAUGGAUGCCUAUGUAGAUUUUAAAUUUCAUUGUAUCAUGAAGCUUCAUAAUUAGAUUUAAUUAUGAUCAGCUACAAAUUCCUUUUUUGAGGAAUUUUAUAUAAUUUGAUAUGUUCUUUUGUCUCAAAACAUGUGAAAAUUUCCAAAUACAUAUCUGGCUAGAUUUAGGUGGUACUGUAAAUUUGAAUGAUGGCCCUCUUGACAUGGAUUUUGUAAUAAAUUUUGUUAUUUUCUUUGAGGUUGUUCCAUCUUCAUAGGUAAUAAAUUCCAAACAUUUUUGGUCUCCAUUUCCAUUCUAAUCACUACAAAAUUACAUAGUGCAAUGUUGAACAUAUAUCUUUUCGCUUACCAACCCUGUGGCUAUUAUAGAAAAAAUAUCCAACUAUAUCCGAAUGGAGUUUAGUCUCUGUGCAGUUGAUUAUAGGUUGAAUCUGACAUGAGUUAUCUUAAUGCUAUUUAGUGGUAAAUAUAAUGCAUGAUUGAUUUAAUCACAAGAUGUUUUCUGAUUUAAUUACGGGUAAAAAUUGUAGAAACCCAAGAUGUUUUCUGAUUAAAUCAAUAUAUGUGAUUAAUUUAGAUUUAAUCACAAUAUGUAGUGAUUGAUUUAAUCACAGUAGUAACAAUAUAUACUUUGUUACUAAAAUCAAAAUGGGUCUUAAGAUGUGUAUGGACGGCUCUAAUAUCACAUGUAAACUAAAUUAGGAUAUCAUGCACAUACAUAAGACACACCGACUAAAUGCAAUUAGGCAAAUACCUACGGAAACUUAGGAACUGAAUAAAUUCAAUCAACUAUUUUGCUCUUCAUUUCACGUCUGCUUUGAUUUGUUUUCGCUCUUCACAUCGGCUUUGAUCUGCAACCUCAAUGAAAUAAACAAUAGAAUAUUGCUUUGAUAUUCCACCCUCUCCACUUUUGCCAUAUUGCUUUGAUCUUCCACCGUCUCCACUUUUGCCCAGACGUCUAUUCAAUGGGGCUAGACUAAACCGAAUUAAGUGUGUAUGUGAGAGUGGGGACCAAGGCUGUAUAUAGAUAUUAUUUGAUAAUGUUCCUCUCAUCAAGGAGUCUAUCAGAUUACCCCUAUUAUAAUCCCAUCAUUAUACGGACUUUAUAUCCAUAUCUCAAAACACGUGAUCACAUGUGACUAAGGUACAUCAUAACCCAAAACCUUAUAAAUAUCACAUUUUUAUAGGGUAUUUGGUAACUCAUUAUUUGGUAUCAAUCCUCAAUCCAAAUUUUAUUUAAAUAUCAAGAUAAAAUAAUAAUUAAUGGAAGCCCAAAAUUCUUAAAGUGUAUAGAGAAAGAUUGCUAAACACCCAAAUCUUUUUCUAACUAGUUUGGAAAGGAGACUCAUUCCAAGAUGUUCGGUUCUGCAAGUUCUGAUGUCAAAGGGUUUGAUUGGGAAGGAUGUAAAUAUGGUUCGGGUGUUAGAUUGUACCAAAAAGAAAUUCGAGACGAGGUUUCUGACC